GAUUUCUGGUAUGAUGCACAGGCCCCGGCUAGAAAUAGAUCGUGUGACUUCGCGCGUCUACCAUCCUUCGCUACGGAUGUGUUGGCAUGUAAAAAGUGUCAGCUGCCGUUGUGAUCUUUUACUUUGAAAAAAUUAGAGUGUUUAAAGCAGGCUUGUGCCUUGAAUACAUUAGCAUGGAAUAAUAAUAUAGGACUGGGUUCCUAUUUUGUUGGCUUUCUGGAAUCGAGUAAUGAUUGAUAGGGAUAGUUGGGGGUGCUAGUAUUCAGCGGCCAGAGGUGAAAUUCUUUGAUUCGCUGAAGACUAACUUAUGCGAAAGCAUU
Molecule: ribosomal RNA, 320 nt
Filed under: Metabolomonas sp.
Lineage: Eukaryota; Cercozoa; Cercomonadida
Also listed under: 1 other name
Description: SSU rRNA
Rfam family: Eukaryotic small subunit ribosomal RNA (bases 113-320)
Source: RNAcentral